GAAGAAAACAUUUCCUUUCUUCUUCGCCUUUGAAGGGAAUUGAAAGAAAUCGAGGCAGCCAGUCCAUGGGUGAUUCUACCCCAAAUCUGAGUGCCCUGCCCGUCCAUGGAGCGAUGUUGUACCAAAUUGCUAGCGGAAAAAGAAACUGAUGCUGCCGCCCCAAAUUUGAGUGCCCUCCCGUACAUGGGGAGAUGUUGUACCAAAUUGUAAGUGUUGUUCUUGUACCAGAUUGAUUUGCUUGCCCAUCCAUGGCCAAAUCUUGGAGGAGGUGACGUUUGUGGCCAGUUUUUGCCGAGGGCAGGACAUGCGCUGCGGAUCAGGUCUUGCCCACCAGCGAGGCCGUCCAUUGGCGCUCGGACAUAUAGCUUUGUGAUUUGGUUGAGGGGCCAUCUUCUGUGUGUUGUUCCUGUCGUCUUAGGCUGUAGACGUACUGACAGGUAUGAAUCCCUUUGUGCUAUCCCAUUUGCCUCUUGCUUUGCAUAAUGUGCAUCAUAAUUUCAUUAACAUAUUUUUUCUGUUGAAUUAAAUUUGGAUAUUUGGCUAUACGUUUUCCAAAAUUAGAAGCUUUCAUGUUUAUAUUGUAGCAGAUUAUGCGUUGUAAUUUCAUCCCAUAUUAGAAAUUGUUUAGUAAAAUAUCCAUGCGACAAACACGCUCAAGAUUGAAUAAAGAAG
Molecule: long non-coding RNA, 672 nt
Filed under: Hordeum vulgare
Lineage: Eukaryota; Viridiplantae; Streptophyta; Magnoliopsida; Poales; Poaceae
Description: long non-coding RNA (HVUL_LNC012628)
Source: RNAcentral